GUGAAGUGGGCUGACAUAUGCUUGCUGAAGGAUCGAGGUGGGUUGGGCAUCCCUGCGUCUCGCUGGAUGAACGUUGCGCUUAUGCUGCGUUGGGUUUGGCGGAUCUUGCGGGGAGAUGGGGGUUUAUGGCUCCAGUAGAUUGAUUCCAAGUACUUGCAGAGACAACCCCUCCUGGCUUGCUCUCACUCGGCUGGGUCCUAG
This 201-nucleotide ribosomal RNA is filed under the name Triticum aestivum (bread wheat). RNAcentral describes it as "partial small subunit ribosomal RNA". Lineage: Eukaryota; Viridiplantae; Streptophyta; Magnoliopsida; Poales; Poaceae. The record is from RNAcentral.